CAGGAUCACCAGGUAGCAUCCCUAAUUGACAUAACCCGCCCGCUGGUACGAGCCAACACGGGACAGGCAAGUCUUUCAAGGUGAUGCGCCACUCUUUGACAAACCCUCCUGAUCCCAAUGGCAAAGCCGAUUCAGCAAGACAGUAUGUCAUGUUAACUUUGACAAACCCUCCUGAUGGCAAAGCCAAAUCAGGCAAGACAGUAGGCAUUGUUAACUUUGACAAACCCUCCUGAUGGCAAGGCCAAUUCAGGCAAGACAGUAUGCUUUUAACUUUGACAAACCCUCCCUAUGGCAAAGCCGUUUCAGGCAAGACAGUAAGCAUUGUUAACUUUGACAAACCCUCCUGAUGGCAAGGCCGUUUCAGGCAAGACAGUAAGCAUUGUUAACUUUGACAAACCCUCCCGAUGGCAGGGCCAAGUCAGGCAAGACAGUAAGCAUUGUUAACUUUGACAAACCCUCCCGAUGGCAAGGCCAAACCAGGAAAGACAGCAGUCAUGUUAAGAGAGGCACAAACGCUAAAUGAGGGCAAAACAAGGAUCCCAUGAGACCCCAUGCCCACAUCGUUUUCCAUAUCCAGGAUACCAAGCAACGCUCAAUGGGCCACAACAUCAACGCAAGCAUAAUGUUGUGGAUCAAAGAGACCGCUUUGUGGUUCAUCCGAUGCCACAAAAAUGGCACGAGACGAAAUCAACUGUAAUCAACCAAGACAAUACCAAUGCUUAGGUACGCAACACAGAAACCCACAAUUUGGCCAGGCAAUAGAUGCCCAAA
Molecule: unclassified non-coding RNA, 771 nt
Filed under: Bidens forbesii subsp. kahiliensis
Lineage: Eukaryota; Viridiplantae; Streptophyta; Magnoliopsida; Asterales; Asteraceae
Description: partial external transcribed spacer
Source: RNAcentral